UACGUAGGUUGCAAGCGUUAUCCGGAAUUAUUGGGCUUAAAGGGUGCGUAGGUGGUUAAGUAUGUCUAGUGUGAAAGGUUGCAGCUUAACCGAAGAAAGGCAGGAGAAACUGAAAAGCUUGAGUGCGGUCGGGGCAGGGGGAAUUGCUGGUGUAGCGGUGAAAUGCGUAGAGAUCAGGAGGAACACCGAUUGCGAAGGCACCCUGCUAGGCUGUAACUGACACUGAGGCACGAAAGCUUGGGGAGCGAAUGGG
This 253-nucleotide ribosomal RNA is filed under the name uncultured bacterium. Its description in RNAcentral is "partial 16S ribosomal RNA". It matches the Rfam family "Bacterial small subunit ribosomal RNA", at positions 524 to 776 of the family's 1533-position model. The record is from RNAcentral.